RNAcentral lists this ribosomal RNA (53 nucleotides) under Puccinia hordei. Its description in RNAcentral is "partial 18S small subunit ribosomal RNA". Lineage: Eukaryota; Fungi; Basidiomycota; Pucciniomycetes; Pucciniales; Pucciniaceae. The record is from RNAcentral.
UAUUGUGGCUCGACCCCUUUAUUCCACCCAAAACUUUUAAGACUUGGUUGCAU